This 470-nucleotide ribosomal RNA is filed under the name uncultured bacterium. RNAcentral describes it as "bacterial SSU rRNA". It matches the Rfam family "Bacterial small subunit ribosomal RNA", at positions 328 to 793 of the family's 1533-position model. The record is from RNAcentral.
UGACCAGACUCCUACGGGAGGCAGCAGUGAGGAAUAUUGGUCAAUGGGCGGAAGCCUGAACCAGCCAAGUCGCGUGAGGGAAGAAGGCCCUGCGGGUCGCAGACCUCUUUGGACGGGGAGCAAGGCCGCCGACGUGUCGGCGGAAGGAGAGUACCCGUAGAACAAGCAUCGGCUAACUCCGUGCCAGCAGCCGCGGUAAUACGGAGGAUGCGAGCGUUAUCCGGAUUUAUUGGGUGUAAAGGGAGCGUAGACGGCAGCGCAAGUCUGAAGUGAAAUCCCAUGGCUUAACCAUGGAACUGCUUUGGAAACUGUGCAGCUGGAGUGCAGGAGAGGUAAGCGGAAUUCCUAGUGUAGCGGUGAAAUGCGUAGAUAUUAGGAGGAACACCAGUGGCGAAGGCGGCUUACUGGACUGUAACUGACGUUGAGGCUCGAAAGCGUGGGGAGCAAACAGGAUUAGAUACCCCUGUAAA